This 206-nucleotide non-coding RNA is filed under the name Planktotalea frisia. The record is from RNAcentral. Lineage: Bacteria; Pseudomonadati; Pseudomonadota; Alphaproteobacteria; Rhodobacterales; Paracoccaceae.
GUAACGUCUGUUUAUCAAGGUGCUGUCCCGUCAAAAGGGCAGAGAAUUGGGAAACCGGUGGAAAUCCGGUGCUGCCCCCGCAACGGUGUGGGUGAGAGAUCUGGCAAGACCACUGGAGCGCGACGCUUUGGGAAGGUGCUGGAUCAGGGUUAACGCGUUAACCACUCGCCCUAAGCCCGGAAACCAGCCUUGUGAGUAAGUCGAAA